GACGAACGCUGGCGGCGUGCUUAACACAUGCAAGUCGAACGGAAAGGCCCUGCUUUUGUGGGGUGCUCGAUUGGCGAACGGGUGAGUAACACGUGAGUAACCUGCCCUUGACUUUGGGAUAACUUCAGUAAACUGGGGAUAAUACCGGAUAGGAGCUCCUGCUGCAUGGUGGGGGUUGGAAAGUUUCGGCGGUUGGGGAUGGACUCGCGGCUUAUCAGCUUGUUGGUGGGGUCGUGGCUUACCAAGGCUUUGACGGGUAGCCGGCCUGAGAAGGUGACCGGCCACAUUGGGACUGAGAUACGGCCCAGACGCCGACGGGAGGAAGCAGUGGGGAAUAGUGCACAAUGGGCGGAAGCCUGAUGCAGCAACGACGCGUGCGGGAUGACGGCCUUCGGGUUGUAAGCCGCUAUCGACUGUGACGAAGCGUGAGUGACGGUAAUUGGUAAAGAAGCACCGGCUAACUACGUG
This 468-nucleotide ribosomal RNA is filed under the name uncultured bacterium. Its description in RNAcentral is "partial 16S ribosomal RNA". It matches the Rfam family "Bacterial small subunit ribosomal RNA", at positions 28 to 507 of the family's 1533-position model. The record is from RNAcentral.